AAUAGAUACCCCGGUAGUCCACGCCGUAAACGAUGGAUGCUAGCUGGUUAUGAGUAUCGACCCUUGUAGUAGCGAAGCUAACGCGUUAAGCAUCCCGCCUGUGGAGUACGAGCGCAAGCUUAAAACAUAAAGGAAUUGACGGGGACCCGCACAAGCGGUGGAGCGUGUUGUUUAAUUCGAUGAUAAGCGAAGAACCUUACCAAGGCUUGACAUCCCUGGAAUUUCUCCGAAAGGAGAGAGUGCCUUCGGGAAUCAGGUGACAGGUGAUGCAUGGCCGUCGUCAGCUCGUGUCGUGAGAUGUUUGGUUAAGUCCAUCAACGAGCGCAACCCUUGUAAAUAGUUGAAUUUUUCUAUUUAGACUGCCUCGGUAACGGGGAGGAAGGAGGGGAUGAUGGUCAGGUCAGUAUUUCCUUUACGCCUUGGGCUACAAACACGCUACAAUGGCCGGUACAAAGGGCAGCCAACCCGCGAGGGGAGCAAAUCCCAUCAAAACCGGUCUCAGUUCGGAUAGCAGGCUGAAAUUCGCCUGCUUGAAGCCGGAAUCG
Molecule: ribosomal RNA, 545 nt
Filed under: uncultured bacterium
Lineage: Bacteria
Description: bacterial SSU rRNA
Rfam family: Bacterial small subunit ribosomal RNA
Source: RNAcentral